RNAcentral lists this long non-coding RNA (809 nucleotides) under Homo sapiens (human). RNAcentral describes it as "non-protein coding LINC01524:17". The record is from RNAcentral. Lineage: Eukaryota; Metazoa; Chordata; Mammalia; Primates; Hominidae.
GAAAAUGGGGAUAAUAACACCCAUGUUAUAGAGUUAUUCUGAUGAUUUCUAAGAGUCUCAGAGACCUAGGAUCCACAAAAUCAAAAGCAACAAAACCAAGCCUUUGUGCACAUCUGUGGUUGUGACCAGUUGGAGAGACAUUAGGAGAUGAGAUACUAUGUUCACUCCUCACAGCUGUACCAGGGACCUGAGAUAUUCCGUCACUAUUCUAUGAGGAUUUUGGAGAUCCCACCAGUGGUUUUCCGGUGCCAGGGUAUGAGAAGAUAGUCUCCAUGUCCAAACUCACAAUUUCAGAACAAAUUUCAUCAAGAUAAAGGGCCUGGGCUGGUGAAUGGUUCCUGCUUUCACUAUUCCAGAUGUCCAGCUCUGUACCUUGCUGCUCUCCUUAAAGCCUGCCUCCCUCUAGGAUGGUCUGGCUUGAUGAUAUCCAACCUGACGUGGCCUGAAGAGACAGACAGUGGCUCUUGCUAGCUAAUUAUUGUCAGAUGGAUCGGCAGCCGACCAACGCUUCUGAAACUAUUGUUUUUGGCAAAUGUUCCUCAACAUUUUCCUGGUAUAUAAAUAAUGAUCCCUUGCAGAAAGGGAGCUAUGGUGCAUUACUCACGAGUGACAGAACCAACGAGCUUCAUCUCCCAAGAGGCUGGUGCAUCUGUUUAAAGGAGCAGGCACUAGGCAGAGCAGCCCCCACCCCACCCUCCAUGGCAGAGUGCAGUGGGGGAAGGGGAUGGGAUUUCACCAUGUUGUCCAAGCUGGUUUUGAACUCCUGGGGUCAAGAAAUCCACCUGCUUCGGCCUCCCACAGUGCUGGGA